RNAcentral lists this ribosomal RNA (381 nucleotides) under uncultured Endochytrium. RNAcentral's name for it is "SSU rRNA". It matches the Rfam family "Eukaryotic small subunit ribosomal RNA", at positions 585 to 972 of the family's 1831-position model. The record is from RNAcentral. Lineage: Eukaryota; Fungi; Chytridiomycota; Chytridiomycetes; Cladochytriales; Endochytriaceae.
CCAGCUCCAAUAGCGUAUAUUAAAGUUGUUGCAGUUAAAAAGCUCGUAGUUGAAUUUUGGGCCUGACUGAGUGGACUUGCCUCGUGUAAGAACUGCUCUGGUCGGGUCUUUCCUUCUGGGGAACCAGCUGCCCUUAACUGGGUGUGUUGGGGAUCCAGGACUUUUACUUUGAAAAAAUUAGAGUGUUCAAAGCAGGCUUACGCUUGAAUACAUUAGCAUGGAAUAAUAAAAUAGGACUUUGUGCCUGUUUUGUUGGCUUUCGGGUAUGAAGUAAUGAUUAAUAGGGAUAGUUGGGGGCGUUAGUAUUUAAUUGUCAGAGGUGAAAUUCUUAGAUUUAUUAAAGACUAACUUCUGCGAAAGCAUUCGCCAAGGAUGUUUUCA